GACAGAGGGUGCAAACGUUGUUCGGAAUUACUGGGCGUAAAGGGCUCGUAGGCGGCCAUCUUAGUCAGACGUGAAAUCCCUCGGCUCAACCGGGGAACUGCGUCUGAUACUGGAUGGCUCGAAUCCGGGAGAGGGAUGCGGAGUUCCAGGUGUAGCGGUGAAAUGCGUAGAUAUCUGGAGGAAUACCGGUGGCGAAGGCGGCAUCCUGGACCGGCAUUGACGCUGAUGAGCGAAAGCUAGGGGAGCAAACGGG
RNAcentral lists this ribosomal RNA (253 nucleotides) under uncultured bacterium. Its description in RNAcentral is "partial 16S ribosomal RNA". It matches the Rfam family "Bacterial small subunit ribosomal RNA", at positions 524 to 776 of the family's 1533-position model. The record is from RNAcentral.